UACAGAGGUCCCAAGCGUUGUUCGGAUUUACUGGGCGUAAAGGGCGCGUAGGCGGCGCGGUAAGUCACUUGUGAAAUCUCUGAGCUUAACUCAGAACGGCCAAGUGAUACUGCAGUGCUAGAGUGUGGAAGGGGCAAUCGGAAUUCUUGGUGUAGCGGUGAAAUGCGUAGAUAUCAGGAGGAACACCUGAGGUGAAGACGGGUUGCUGGGCCAACACUGACGCUGAGGCGCGAAAGCCAGGGGAGCAAACGGG
This 253-nucleotide ribosomal RNA is filed under the name uncultured bacterium. Its description in RNAcentral is "partial 16S ribosomal RNA". It matches the Rfam family "Bacterial small subunit ribosomal RNA", at positions 524 to 776 of the family's 1533-position model. The record is from RNAcentral.